RNAcentral lists this unclassified non-coding RNA (305 nucleotides) under uncultured Pyrenophora. RNAcentral describes it as "partial contains 5.8S ribosomal RNA, internal transcribed spacer 2, and large subunit ribosomal RNA". The stretch from base 1 to 102 matches the Rfam family "5.8S ribosomal RNA", at positions 53 to 154 of the family's 154-position model. Lineage: Eukaryota; Fungi; Ascomycota; Dothideomycetes; Pleosporales; Pleosporaceae. The record is from RNAcentral.
AUGCGAUAAGUAGUGUGAAUUGCAGAAUUCAGUGAAUCAUCGAAUCUUUGAACGCACAUUGCGCCCUUUGGUAUUCCAAAGGGCAUGCCUGUUCGAGCGUCAUUUGUACCCUCAAGCUUUGCUUGGUGUUGGGCGUCUUUUGUCUCUCCCCCGAGACUCGCCUUAAAAACAUUGGCAGCCGGCCUACUGGUUUCGGAGCGCAGCACAUUAUUUGCGCUCUUGUCCAGCCGCGGUCGCGCGUCCAUGAAGCCUUUUUUUUUCAACCUUUUGACCUCGGAUCAGGUAGGGAUACCCGCUGAACUUAA